GAUGAACGCUGGCGGCGUGCCUAACACAUGCAAGUCGAGCGAGAAGCUUGUAAUUGACACUUCGGUUGAUUUUAUAAGUGGAAAGCGGCGGACGGGUGAGUAACGCGUAGGCAACCUGCCCCAUACAGAGGGAUAGCAUCGGGAAACUGGUAUUAAAACCUCAUACUGCAUCAUUGACACAUGUCAAAGAUGUGAAAGAUUUAUCGGUAUGGGAUGGGCCUGCGUCUGAUUAGUCAGUUGGUGAGGUAACAGCUCACCAAGGCGAUGAUCAGUAGCCGACCUGAGAGGGUGAUCGGCCACAUUGGAACUGAGACAGGUCCAAGCUCCUACGGGAGGCAGCAGUGGGGAAUAUUGCACAAUGGGCGAAAGCCUGAUGCAGCAACGCCGCGUGAGCGAUGAAGGCCUUUGGGUCGUAAAGCUCUGUCCUAGGGGAGGAAAAAAUGACGGUACCCUUGGAGGAAGCCCCGGCUAACUACGUGCCAGCAGCCGCGGUAA
This 495-nucleotide ribosomal RNA is filed under the name uncultured bacterium. RNAcentral's name for it is "partial 16S ribosomal RNA". It matches the Rfam family "Bacterial small subunit ribosomal RNA", at positions 28 to 523 of the family's 1533-position model. The record is from RNAcentral.